Molecule: ribosomal RNA, 307 nt
Filed under: uncultured Enterobacteriaceae bacterium
Lineage: Bacteria; Pseudomonadati; Pseudomonadota; Gammaproteobacteria; Enterobacterales; Enterobacteriaceae
Description: bacterial SSU rRNA
Rfam family: Bacterial small subunit ribosomal RNA
Source: RNAcentral
UGGGGAAUAUUGCACAAUGGGCGCAAGCCUGAUGCAGCCAUGCCGCGUGUAUGAAGAAGGCCUUCGGGUUGUAAAGUACUUUCAGCGGGAGGAAGGCGAUAAGGUUAAUAACCUUGUCGAUUGACGUUACCCGCAGAAGAAGCACCGGCUACUCCGUGCCAGCAGCCGCGUAAUACGAGGGUGCAAGCGUUAAUCGGAAUUACUGGGCGUAAAGCGCACGCAGGCGGUCUGUCAAGUCGGAUGUGAAAUCCCCGGGCUCAACCUGGGAACUGCAUUCGAAACUGGCAGGCUGGAGUCUUGUAGAGGG